This 253-nucleotide ribosomal RNA is filed under the name uncultured bacterium. RNAcentral's name for it is "partial 16S ribosomal RNA". It matches the Rfam family "Bacterial small subunit ribosomal RNA", at positions 524 to 776 of the family's 1533-position model. The record is from RNAcentral.
UACGUAGGGCGCAAGCGUUGUCCGGAAUUACUGGGCGUAAAGCGUGCGCAGGCGGUUCGUUAAGUUCGAUGUGAAAGCCCCGGGCUCAACCUGGGAACUGCAUUGGAAACUGGCGAGCUUGAAUGCGGCAGAGGGGGGUGGAAUUCCGCGUGUAGCAGUGAAAUGCGUAGAGAUGCGGAGGAACACCGAUGGCGAAGGCAGCCCCCUGGGCCGACAUUGACGCUCAGGCACGAAAGCGUGGGGAGCAAACAGG